GUGUCAGCCGCCGCGGUAACACGGGGGGAGCGAGCGUUGUUCGGAUUUACUGGGCGUAAAGAGCGUGUAGGCGGGACAAUAAGUCAAAUGUGAAAUUUUUCGGCUUAACCGGAAACAUGCAUUUGAUACUGUUGUUCUUGAGUGCGAAAGAGGGAAGUGGAAUUCCUGGUGUAGCGGUGAAAUGCGUAGAUAUCAGGAAGAACACCAGUAGCGUAGGCGGCUUCCUGGUUCGCAACUGACGCUGAGACGCGAAAGCGUGGGGAGCAAACAGGAUUAGAUACCCUGGUAGUCCACGCCGUAAACGAUGGGCACUAGGUGUUGGAGGAUUCGACCCCUUCAGUGCCGAAGCUAACGCAUUAAGUGCCCCGCCUGGGGAGUACGGUCGCAAGACUGAAACUCAAAUGAAUUGACGGGG
This 415-nucleotide ribosomal RNA is filed under the name uncultured prokaryote. RNAcentral's name for it is "bacterial SSU rRNA". It matches the Rfam family "Bacterial small subunit ribosomal RNA", at positions 505 to 918 of the family's 1533-position model. The record is from RNAcentral.